RNAcentral lists this ribosomal RNA (119 nucleotides) under Betta splendens (Siamese fighting fish). Lineage: Eukaryota; Metazoa; Chordata; Actinopteri; Anabantiformes; Osphronemidae. The record is from RNAcentral.
GCUUACGGCCAUACCGCCCUGAGCAUGCCUGAUCUUGUCUGAUCUCGGAGGCUAAGCAGGGUUGGGCCUGGUUAGUACUUGGAUGGGAGACCGCCUGGGAAUACCAGGUGCUGUAAGCU